RNAcentral lists this ribosomal RNA (253 nucleotides) under uncultured bacterium. RNAcentral's name for it is "partial 16S ribosomal RNA". It matches the Rfam family "Bacterial small subunit ribosomal RNA", at positions 524 to 776 of the family's 1533-position model. The record is from RNAcentral.
UACAGAGGUCCCAAGCGUUGUUCGGAUUCAUUGGGCGUAAAGGGUGCGUAGGCGGCGCGGUAAGUCGGGUGUGAAAUCUCGGAGCUUAACUCCGAAACUGCAUUCGAUACUGCCGUGCUUGAGGACUGGAGAGGAGACUGGAAUUUACGGUGUAGCGGUGAAAUGCGUAGAUAUCGUAAGGAAGACCAGUGGCGAAGGCGGGUCUCCGGACAGUUCCUGACGCUGAGGCACGAAGGCCAGGGGAGCAAACGGG